AUUGAACGCUGGCGGCAGGCCUAACACAUGCAAGUCGAACGGUAACAGGAAACAGCUUGCUGUUUCGCUGACGAGUGGCGGACGGGUGAGUAAUGUCAGGGAAACUGCCUGAUGGAGGGGGAUAACUACUGGAAACGGUAGCUAAUACCGCAUAACGUCGCAAGACCAAAGAGGGGGACCUUCGGGCCUCUUGCCAUCGGAUGUGCCCAGAUGGGAUUAGCUAGUAGGUGGGGUAACGGCUCACCUAGGCGACGAUCCCUAGCUGGUCUGAGAGGAUGACCAGCCACACUGGAACUGAGACACGGUCCAGACUCCUACGGGAGGCAGCAGUGGGGAAUAUUGCACAAUGGGCGCAAGCCUGAUGCAGCCAUGCCGCGUGUAUGAAGAAGGCCUUCGGGUUGUAAAGUACUUUCAGCGGGGAUGAAGGGAGUAAAGUUAAUACCUUUGCUCAUUGACGUUACCCGCAGAAGAAGCACCGGCUAACUCCGUG
Molecule: ribosomal RNA, 490 nt
Filed under: uncultured bacterium
Lineage: Bacteria
Description: partial 16S ribosomal RNA
Rfam family: Bacterial small subunit ribosomal RNA
Source: RNAcentral